RNAcentral lists this long non-coding RNA (13642 nucleotides) under Marmota monax (woodchuck). The record is from RNAcentral. Lineage: Eukaryota; Metazoa; Chordata; Mammalia; Rodentia; Sciuridae.
GAUAAUUUACUUGUAAAAUCAAUCAUGCUGGCCUGUGUCAUUUCAGAGUCACCAUGUAGGCGUGUCCAAGAAACUUCACUCAAAUCAAGCUGGCCUGGAUUCAAGAGUACCAGUUGGUUGCCCGAAUGAUUUGGCCAAUGUGGAGAGAGAGAAGAGCAAGCAGGGAUCACGGCAGUAGUCAGCGCCAAUGUUACUACAGGUCAGUUAAGCUUACAAGAUAGUGGUUUCAAUUGUCUACAAAAGACACACCAUAUACAAUUUCUUCCUACCAUUUUGUUUGGAAUAUAUGGCUUAGCCAAAGUGACUUCCUUGCCCUGAAAUUCUCACUGAAGUUUUAAGUGCAGCAUGACACUACACACUUACAAUAAUGAUGGGACUCUUUAUUGUUUUCCACUACCAAUUUUUUUCCCGCUCAUUUAUGUUUUUUGUUAGUAAGGAAGUAUUUUCUUUUAAGAUUGCUUGUGUUGUCAUGAAAAUAAUAUCUUGACAUCUUUUCCAGAAGAAUGAAAAAGAAAAAUUCAUGCCUUGAAAAGAGGUUAAAAUAAUUGAGAUUUUUUUAAAUCUUAAAAAGCGUCAGAUAAGAAAUCUAAUGCAGACUUGAAUUACAAAGGUUUAGUUUAUAGUGAUGAUGAUCUGAUAUUCUUGCUGUGUACUGAGGGCAAAACAAAAACAAAUGGACUUGUGAAGUUGAUAGCAUUCAAUUAAGCUACCCAGACUCACUUCCAUAUGGUGGAAAUUUGAGAUGACUUAGCAAGGAAAUAAGAAUUUUCAUUUCUGGCAAUAUUUUAGAUACACAAACCAGCCCAGUAUCUAUUACACUUUAUAUUGAAACUUCACAUUUAGUUUGAAGGAAAAUUGAAACUGUAAUUAUUCUUAAGCAUACAGUUUGUUCCUUUUCCCUCCUUAUUUGGUUUUGUAGCUAGCACACUUUUUUCUCCAAGGACAUGUAAAAGUCAAAACACUAGAUAUAAAGUCUCUGAAGUGUUUCUGCUCCAAACCCUGUCUGUACAAUCUGAGCUCUUUCAUGUAGUUAGCUUACUGGCUUCUGACACUCCUAUAAAAAUAUCCCAUAGAGCUGUUCUUAUUACCUUUUCAUUGACUCUCUCUGAGUGAUAAAAAUGAAAUUCUGUAAAGGACUUUGAAAACCAUGCAUAUUGCAAUUCCUCCACAUUUCAAAUACUAAUCAAGUGUGACUAUAAAAGAAACAACCUCAGUGGUGAAAAUUGCUGCCGUGUGUUGAGUCUCAAGCCAUUAUUAAUUCAUUGGAAACUAUUUUUUUUUCCUUUAAGAUUAUGGAUCCUAAAAAAUACCAGAUAACACAAUUCCUGAGAUCAAAGUUUCUGUUUCAAUCAUAGAGAAACUCGGUAUCUCAUCUUUCCUUGCGUGUGCAUCUCUGGGAGACUACAGCCAAGGCCAUGGUUCUCUGUACUCAGUGAAUAAUGCAGAGUAUGUCAUAAACCAGGGAAGCACCUGCUUUCAACAUACGCCUGCAAGUGAUGUUUUUAAAGACAAAAAGAAACUGGAAUUAAAGUAAUGGUUCUAAGCAAGUGAAAUUUCCUAACUUCAUUCAAGAGAGUAAAACAAAAUGUCCAUUCUUAAGAUUAUUCCAAUAUGGAUUUACUUAGAAAUUACCCUAUAUGCACAUCUGGGCAAUAUAUUUACUUCUUUUCCCAUUUUUAAAUGCAAUAAAUUAUAGAAUCUUUCUUCAUUAUGAAUUAUAUUUAUGUGACAACUCCAUACAUAAAAAUAUAAAAGUAAAAUAAAACCAAAACAAAAAUGUUCAAGCUUUAUUUUGUACCUCAUAUAAUAUAGUAUAUGUGACUUCAUGUACAAAAUAACUAAUUAAAUUCAUAUUUAACAUUACCUUACUUGGUGUGGAUAGUUCAUCUCUGAAUAUGCAGUAGCCUCCUUUGUGUUCAGAGUGGAAAAAUAAGAGGCUCUCUCAGCUUUUCCUGUUUUUUUUUUUUUUUCCGUGUGUGUGUGUGGUGUGUCAGGAAUUAAACUCAGGCACACUUAACCACUGAGCCACAUCCCCAACACUUUUUAUCGAUUUAUUUUGAGACAGUGUCUCAUUAAAUUGCUUAGGACCUCCCUAAAUUGCUGAGGCUGGCUUUGAACACACGAUUCUCCUACCUCAACCUCCUAAGCAGCUGGGAUUACAUAUGUGCCUCCACUCCCAGCUUCCUUGCAGACAAGAGUUGUUCAUUUUCUAAGUUUCUCUUUUGGUGAGAAUCGUGGGUUGCAGAAUCUUUAUAGCAUAUCAAAUACUGAAAAAACAAAAAUUUUAAAAGCUUAAUUAAGGUGGGGUACUGUUUUUCUGAUCGUGCUCCCUCAGAUCCGUUCUUUCAAUUAGAUGAGUUAGAACCUUUUCAAAUAUGCAUCAAUAAUUACUAGAGGGAAUUUUUUAAUCAAGAUAUUCAGUGUAAACAACUUGGAGGUCUUGCUGUGAACAGCUGAACAUGAAUUAUAUAAUAACAAUUGACUCCACACAGCCAGAAGUAUAAUAAACUAUAACUCUAGACCAUUGCUGUCAGCUGAGCUCCUUUCACUAAGAAACUGAUGAAAAUGUUUCACCAGAUCUCAGAUGACCUUCUUCUGUGGAUCUUAAUUCAUUCUGAUGGCUCAGUGAUGCUCACAUCUUAUUUUAAGAACAUUAUCACUAACUUUACAUGUUGUUUUGCCCAUGAAUAAUAGUAUACUUUUCUUAUAUAGCAUGACUAAGUGGCAUGAGGGUAAAGUUCAGACCUUUGAAGUCUAAACUGAGAAUCCUAGGUCUAAAUUUUCUCUCCCCAACUUGCUGUGUACCAAGAGCAAUUUACUAUACUUUCUAUGUCCUUAUUUGUCAAAUUCGGUUAAUAUACACCACAGGCUAAUUUCAAGAUUAUUUUGGUUCAAAUAAAUGAAAGUUAGUAUAGUCAUCUGAUAAACUCCAAAAUAGUCAUUGCUAUAGUAGUUAACCACUGACUCUUUGUGAGUUGGUUGCUCAAGACAACUUUGCUUCCCUGUAACAUCUCUACAAAGUGCUGGCUAUAGUCAUCUGAUAUUGUAGCUCUCAGUCCAUGAGUUUCGGUAUACAGGGUUUUGUUUUUUUUUCUCUUUUGAGAACUAUAUCCUCAUGGAAACUGUAUGGCCUUUGUUAAUGCUAUUGACAUGGGAAGGAAUGAAAAGCCCUCUUUGGCAACAUCUCUAAUUUCUGAGUCUAAGAAACAUUGGAGACACAUGGAUGAUCUGAUUCUCUCUAAUGGACUAUUUAUCCUUCUUGCCUCAGAAGCAAUAUCUCAGGAAAGCACAAGGUUUCUUUGGUUAAUCAGCUAAACAACUAUUUUUAGUAGAUAACACGUGUUAAGUAGAAAUGUUUGCAUUAAGCUGUUUGGUGCAUAUCCGGUUCCCUGCGUUGAUUUGCAAAUGGAAAAUCUAUUGGGAAAUGUUCUCAACAACAACAACAACAACAACAACAACAAAAAAGGCAGAAUAAGAGAAGUAUGUAUGGGCAGAGGGAGAAGGUGAAUCAUGAUAUAGUCACAACAAAGACCUCAGAAAGUCCCCAAGGCAGUUGUGGAGUGGGGGUCUUGAGAGUUGUCCAAAAUUAGGGUAGGCCUCUAUACCCCCUUCACCAGUCAAUAAUAAGGUACAGCUGUCCCUGAGACAGGGCUUGACUGUGCAUAAGGUGGCUUUCUUAAGCCAAGGGCAAAGUCAUUUGGUAAAAGAGGAUUAUUGCUUAGUUAUGAGGAGGAGCUGGUUAUUAUGUGGGUCACUCAGUAAUUACUACAAUUGCUUCUGGUGAUUUUUGUGGCCAAAUAGGAGCCAUUCUCAUUUUCCUCCUUGUGGGUCCCUCUAGAAACCGAAAUCUUUGCCAGAAAGUAUGAUUUUUUAAAUGUGCUUUUUUUUCCCCCUGAAUAAAAUCUUUCUAUCAAGCAAAUUUUGUACUCUCCUGGUUCAUUUUCUCUUUUGCAAUUCCCUUCCUUUUGGAGUUUCUACUGUGUUCUUUGAAUUAUCCCAAAUUUGUAGAUGAAAUCUUCCAUAAAUUAGACAAGUCAACCAGUGCGUAGAACCUUGAGCCCAAAACCAAAAAACAGUACCCUAAGUUCUAGUAUCAGCUCUGCCAAAACCUGAAUAUGUAGCUUUUCAUAAGUCAUUUGCUUUCUCUGAGCUUUACUUUCCUCAUCAAACCAGGAGGCACACAAGGUAAUCUUCAUGCCCUGUUAAUUCUGAAAGCUUUUGAUUCAAUAACCUAUUCUGAUAUCAAAACAGGCUGAGAUUAUUGAGCUCAAACUGUCUCAUAUCUGGGUAAAACUCACAUAUAUGUGAUACUCCACAUCUAGGAUCCUCCUUAUUUUGGGAAACUAAACAGGUGAGAGGAAACAAGCUCCAUAGGAAAGUACUCUGCUGAGGCCAAGAGGGGAGGGUAGAGAAUAGAUAAUAGAUCUAUAAGAAUGUAAAGAAGUUUUUUUACUGAGAUUUAGUUUAAUCUAAAUAUCUAAUAUAAACUUUUUUUAAUUUAUAUAAUACUUAUAUAAUAUUUUAGACAUGGUGACACAGGCUGACUAAAACAGAAAUCAGUUGUGGUCAAAGCAAGACCAAAACUUAGCUAAGCAAACAGGUCCUAGAACUCUGCCUCUAACUCUGUGUUCAUCCUCUAGGACACAUGGCUACAUGAAGUACUUUCAAAAUCACUUGGGCAGCCCUGCCUCUUUGGUCUUGCUGGUUGUAGGCACAUGGACUCUCUUUUAGCCUGUCUGUCUCCACAGCCAGCAGAUUCUCUGAGAAGUUCACAUUACUGGUAUCUUUUCAUUCCUGGGGUAUCCAUUCCAGCUUUGGCUUCACCUCCUCAACUCAUACAUUGACCUCUCAGUGGCAGCCGAUGAGGACUCCAACCAUGCGAAACUUUGCCUGGUCUCCAAGGCCUUCCUUUGAAAUCUUUAUCGAAGCCUUCAUGACCCCUUAACUCCAGCAACCUGCAUUUCUGUAAAACCAGCACCAUGUAGAUGACAACUUGCACAAUACUUGGGCCACCUGGCAUCCUAUCUGUAGUUGCCUCUGAGUGUCUGCUCAACUCAGUAUGGUGAAAAGAGUUCCUAGGCCCCACUGUAUGAGCAGGGAAUCAUUGUGAUCUCAUGAUCUCCUUUCGGAGGGAUUUUGGCUUAUGUACCCUGGAGCCUGUGGGUGUGACCUUACAAAUACCUGAGAUGCCAUCAAAGCAUGUGGUUUCUGAGCAAAGUACUUAGCAUCUCUUAAGGGUUGUAAUCUCUUCAAGCACAGCUUCCUUGGCCCCAGCUUUACUUUACUUUUCUGGCCAAAUGGCAAGUUUUUAAAAUCCUUAAACUCUUCCUUCAGUUCCCAAUUCUCAUAGUAAACCUNCACGUGGUGUUAUCUCCGGCCACACUACCCCAACAGGAAAUUCCUCCUCCGGAAUUCCCUCCUACCGCACUUUCCCAACCAAUGGGAACUCUUUGGGAGUCCUGCUAGAGCUCCAAAGUAGCAGGCCAAGGUGGACAGCAGGGAUCUAAUAUCCAUUUGAAUGCAGAUCUUAACAUAAUCAUAUCAUCUCAAUGGCUUGCUAGCAUCACCUUUCAACCAAAAAUGCCAUGCAUCAUUACUAUUUGGCUAUGGCUCUUAGCAUGCUACCUUGCAAUUUUCUCCACCAGAUUAAAUAUUUCAUCAUUUAAAAAUAAAACCUCACUCAGAAUCUCAGUACAAGGGGAAAAUAUAGACACGUUCUUUAACAUUAAUGGUGACCUCUACUUGAAUUCCUAGUAGAGUCUUCAUUUCCCUCUAAAACUUCAUAAGUGCAUUCUGCAGUCCUACCUUUAUUCUGCUCUUUUGAGCUCUCUCUAGAAUUGCCAAUUAAACUCCAAUUACAACAUUCUAAGGCUUUUCCAACCUGCAUUUCCAAACAUUUCCAAGUAUCUUCUGCAAACUAUUUCCAAAAGCUUCUGAACCACAUGGUCAGGUUAGUUUUUAUAGCUGCAACACUUCUCAGUACCAAUCUCUGUUUUAGUUAGCUUCUUGUCACCAUAACGAUAACACAUGACAAGUACAACUUAAAGAAGGAGAAGUUAAUCUGGCAUUCAGUUUCAGAGAUCUCAGUCCAUACAUAGCUGACUCCAUGUCUCUGGGCCCAGAGAGAGGAGCACAUAAUGGGGGAAGGACCCAGCAGAGGAAAGCCACUGAGCUCAUGGUAGGGUUGUGAAGUAGACUGGGAGAAAGGAGCUACAGGGAAGAACAGCCCUUCCAGAGAAUGCCUCAAGUGAUCCGCCUCCUCUAGUCAUGCCCCACCUCACUAUAGUUACCACCCACUCUGUCCAUUCAAAAAAGGAUGGACUGAUUAAUUUACAUCUCUCAUAAUCUAAUUAUUUGCCCUCUCAGUAUUCCUGCAGAGGCACAUGAAGUUUUGAAGGGACACCCCCAUAUCAAAACCUUAACAUAAAUCAGUUCCCUCUUAGGACUAGAUAAUUAGAUAAGGUGGGGAUCCAUAUUAAGACCUUGAUCAAAUACCUGAUUAUAUACUAUCCAAAGUCAGUUACUUUCAAUAACAUUAUCAUAAAAUACAUUAUGGUUUCUCAGUUUUAAUAGAGGAAUAACUAUGGUCCACUGUUAUUAUAAAUAGUUUUCUAAGUCCAAUAGUUAUUUUUAUGCUGAAAACUAGAAAUCUUGUCAUUCAGAAUAUUGGAUAACUUUGCAUGGCCCAGUGGUCCAAGUCUGUAAUCGCAGAGGCUCAGGUGGCUGAGGCAGGAGGAUCACGAGUUCAAAGCCUCCCUCAGCAAAAAGCAAGGCACUAAGAUACUCAAUGAGACCCUGUCUCUAAAUAAAAUACAAAAUAGGACUGGGGAUGUGGCUUAGUAAUUGAGUGCUGAGUGUCCCUGAGUUCAAUCUCCAAUACCAAAAAAAAAAAGGAGAACUUUAAUUUGGCAAACAAAAAAGCCAGUAUGGCUUUCAUGCUAAUUUUUUAAUUGUUGAGCCAAAUGAUAGUUCUAUUUUUUUUUAUUUUUUAAUCAUUUAUUUUUAUUUUGUACUUAUUUACGGGUUACAGUGUGGCAUUUCAAUACGCCAUAUGCAAUGUAUGCUGAUUAAAUCAGGAUUAUUAACAUCAUGUCAUUGUCCUUUCUUUAUGUUUGCAGCCUUCAAGCUUCUCACUUCUUGCUUUUCAUAAAUUGUAUAAUAGGAUAUUGUUUCUUCCUUCAAUUUAAUAUCAAUGCAGAUUUUUCAUCAUAUAAACAGAAUAAUGAUAUCAUUCCCUUCCCUUUACACUUUUAGGGAAUGCUGUCAUAGAUACAACAUACUUCCUAUGACUUUAAAAUUUUAUAUGAUCAUCCUUCAUCUUAAUAGCAACCCUCUUCUCAGAAGUUUGAAUGUUUUAAGAAUAUGUUAGAGGGAGAAGCAUAGUCAUCUUAUUGUUUGAACAGUUUUGAAAUAUCAUUUCCUAUUAGGCAGUUGUGUGAGCACUGACAACUUUGCCCCUCUUCUUCCCUGGAGAUUAAUUUAUUUCCUGCAGUGCUUGCUCUUUGUGGAAAGCCUCCUCGUCAGCCUUCACCAAUGGGAGCUCUCAUCAGCAGAAUGUUAAUUAUAAAAGCAAAGCCAUAUACAGUAUUAAAAGAAAAAAGAAACUUCUCAAGACAAAGCAAUGUUUUUCUUUUCCUUUUCACUCUACUUCCCACUCAGGCUGUGGUUGAACAGAAUCAUUAUCCACUGGAAGAAUAUUCCACAAGGUGGUGGGGUACAGUGGAAUUUGAAAAGGCUUUGUAACCAGGCGGACACAAGACUGAAUGAACUCUAAUUCAAAGAAUGACUCAUUCUUUGUGAUUUUGUUUUGCAAUAUUUAAAAUUAGAGUAAAAAAUGUCUACCUUACAGAAGAGUUUUUGUAAAUUAAAAAAAAAAAACUUAACAAUAAUGUUAAAAACACUUAUUUAGGAUUUUUCAACAUUCAUGUUUUCAGUCAAAACUAUGCCAUUGCCUGUUUUUGUAAAGCCCAGAAGCUAAAACAUUUUAUUCUUCUUAAUGGUUUAAAAACAUAAACAUACAAUCUAUAUAUUAGAUUAUACUUUCUGAUUUACAGAAAAUUAAAAUUUCAAUGUCUAUAAAUAAAGUUUUAUUGAAACCUAGCCACAUUCAUUCAUUUACAUAUUGUCUCUAUUUCAGUGCUCUGUCCAUAAAGCUGAAUAGUUGUGACAUGUUUGUUCUCUUGUUCUUUAGAGAAAAAGUUUACUAACCUUUACUCUAGAGAGUCUGAUUCAGAGGUCCUAAACUGUACCAGGAAACAAUUUCAGCAUAUUUCUCAGGAGAUGCUGAUGCAGGGUGUCUAUGAACCAUUUUGAAAAAUAAUGCAAUAAAAGAGUUGUGAAUCCUCUUUCUUAAAUUGUCUCUUAUCACAUGUACUCCACUGGCAAGAUACUACUGACUUAAUUUUCAAUGAUAUCUCAAAUAUGACCACUUCCUUUCUAAUCCACUUCUAUCAACUUAGUCCAAGUCAUGCACUACAAUCAACCAUCAUCGCAUCAGGAUUUUUAUAGUGUCUUCCCCACUAGUCUAUUUGCUUCCGCCCUUGUACCAUAGUGUCCAUUCUCAACACAAAAGCCAGAGUAAAUGUGAUCAAACCUUUGCCAAAUCAUAGAAUUCCUCUCAGAAUUCAUAGUAGCCUCUCCACUCCUCCCCCAUCCCAUGGCUUUAGUUGUGUCAGCCACAUACCUGAUUCUCAAAAACUCCAAGGAGUUCCAUCCUGAAGGCUCACCAAGGCUGCUUUCUCUAAUUGGUUUAAUCUUCUUCUACUGAUCAUAUUAUGGCUUUCGGUGCUGUCUCCUAUAGGAAGCAUCUGACCUGUUAUAGGUUCUCAACACCGAAUAAAGAAAUAAACCCCAGACUUCUAUUUUGUAAUUAUCUAAUUGUAUUUUCUGUAGGCAAAAACAGUUGCCAGGAGUACAAAUAUGACUCAUCUCUGAACAAUGGUACAGUACCCACUUAAUCACUGCAAAUGAGGGAAACAAUACAGCAGCUAAUAAUGUGUACCAUUUGUUUAUUCAGACUCAGCCAACAAUGUCAUUACAAAAGGUACUAAAGAAAGGAAAGUAGGUGGUUGGUACAGAUAGGAGAAGAUAGAUGGAAAUCCUGUUGAAACUGUUGAAGAUAGAUUCCAUGAAAUAUUCAGAAUAGAAUGCAAUCACAGAAGGUGCCUGGCUGACUGCAGGUUUUACUGUUCUACAUCAGAUUGAGCAACUUUAGGAGUCUGGCACUCAAAGUUCCCAAGAGGGAGCAUGAGGUGUGAAAAGCAUGGAUUCAAAUUAACACUUUAGGAAAUGUCGGCUUUAAAAGGGAAUGCAAAUCAAUUUUAGAUAUACUUGAAUUUGAUUCCUCUAAAAUAUGAGGAAAUGGAGAUAUUCUUUCACUUCAAUCUUCUUGUUCAAAGAAUUACCCCUCUGAUUUUAUGCUUAUAACUUCAUUUUGUGGCCUGAACAACAGGUUAUUUUUAUAAGAGUAUGUAUUCUGACUAUCAAAGGGCACUUCUUUAGCUUAUAUGUCUUACAGAGAAAAAUGAAAUAAAACUCAGCCUGUUUUUCUAUAGCUGAAGUGUUUGGCUUGCUCUUCAUGGAACUUAGUCUAUAUGACUCCGCAUUCCUCAGUUAAUUUAUCAUCUAAGCAUUUGGUUUGGUAAAUAUUUAAUGCAGUUUAAGAAACCACCUCUGGUUGAACUUGGGAUACUUCCAAAAGGAAUGGAUGAUGAAUUCCUCAAAAAGAGAAGCGUUUCAAAUGAAUUUGGGUUUAAAAACAAAUAAUUGUGUGAAAAAACAGUUCCUUCACAUUUUGAGAUUUCUUGAAAGUUAAUGUGAUGAGGAACAGGAUUUCCAGCCUAUGUGAACUCUUCUGCUGUAUCCAUAAGCUGGCCACCAGAGUAUGGAUAUUAUGUAGAAGAUCCCCACUUAGCUAAUGAUAGGGCCAGCUCAGGAAGGGGAGAGUGACUUAAAAAGCCCCCUCUAAAAUUCACAUGGUUAAUCCCAUUAUCUCACCUUGAAAUAACAUAUUUAUUCUAAUUUCCUCACUUCCUGUUUUUCUACUUGACUAUGUACUAUCUUAAAUCAGCUUAUUGACAAGGGAGAGUGAGACUAAUAACUGUCAAGAUGACAGAUUGAACUUUCUAACCACAGGCCUAUAAUAGUUUUAUGUGCAUGUGAGAUGGUAAUAGCAGGUAAUAUUUCGGUAGCACUUUAUGUUUUACAAAGCACUUGCAGAUCCAUUAUUUCAUUUGAUAUUUCUUCAACUCAAUGAUUCAGUUGUUAUUAUUAUCAAACUUCAUUCACUGAUAAGGAAAUGAAAUUCAGAGAUUCCUCAAAACGCACCGUCAUUGAGUUGUAGUCUCAGGAAUCAGAACUAAGUCCUCAGAUUCUGUUUCUUUGUAAUACAAUAUAUCUAUUUCAUUUUUCCUUAUCUCCCCCCAGCAAGAAAAGCAACAUUGUGAAGUAAGAAAUACUGUUGUUAUCCCUUUUGAAAGAUACAAUCUUAAAGAUAGUAACUAAUAGAAGUGGGAAUUAAAUCUGGGCCUACUGCCUAAAAAUCUUGUUUCUUUUAUCUAUAAUGUAUAUUCUACAGUGGCUAGUUGUAUUGAUAUUUGUGAUUUAAGAAAGAUCUAAAAGAUCUGAAGACAGCAGUUGGGGGAUCAUGAGGAGAGAGACUUAAAUGAAAGAGGACACAAGGCCCUGGCUAUCUUCCCCAUCAGCCACUGAUGACCCAGACUCCAGCCCCAGUUAACACAGAGAAGUGUUAUUGACAAAGAAAGUAAAUUCUUGUCAUUAGGAAGGUUCACAUGUUCAGAAAAAUUCUAUUUUGACAUCAAUUUUUUUUUUCUCUCAAUUAGUCUGUGAACUCCUCAGAAGUCACAAAGCUGUGUAUUUUAUUUUUGUGUUUCACAUGACUCAUAAAAAUUACUAAGAGUUAUUGAGACAGUUUUAGGCUCUUUGUAUUUAUAGAUCUAUUUAAUUUUUGUAGCAGCUUCAUAAAAUAGGCAUUAUUAUCCCUGCCCCUCUCCUGUUUUUAAAGAUGAAUAAUAGGCCCACAGGGUUAGAUAACUUACUUUUGAUUAUGCUACUAUUAGUGGCAGAGAAAGAAUUCAAAGGAUAAAGGAAAGGAAGGGAGGUAAACAGAAGAAAGGAAGGAAGGAAGGAAGGAAGGAAGGAAAGAAGGAAGGAAGGAAGGAAGGAAGGAAGGAAGGAAGGAAGGAGGCUGUUUUAGGUCAUGACUAUUCAGGAGCAAAAGAUAAAGAGAGCUCCUGUCCAUUUAAGUGGCCAGCACUCAAAUGGUCUUUAGGAUGAUCAAGGUAUGGGCAAACCGGAGGUUUCUGGUCCUCUGUGCCUCUUGACCACUGUAGUGUUUGCUAGUGGGGCUUUUUAAGCACUCAUCCUCAUUCUUCACAAAGCCCUGGUGGGAAGGAAUGGAGGAUGGAAUUCCUAUUUGCUGUACUUGAAAGUCUGGAAGGACAUUGUAUUAGUGUCAGGUUUGCCUACAGGUUAACUCAGAGCUUUACAUCAUGCAGCUUAUGCUUGAGACCUAUAGCUCCACCUUCAAUUUCCCAUGUACAGAUGCCCACUCCCUGCUCUGUGGUUAUAUUCUGCAGGUCUAGGACAUCAGCCAGAGUGUUGAUCUGGAAUCAGAUAUUUUUAGAUCACCAUCAGCUUCAACCCCUUACUAGCUGUAUACUUGUUUGGCAGGUCACAACUUUACUGUGGCCUACCUUGCACUGCCCAUAAAAUAGAGUUGUAAUGAGGAUAAACUAAAAUGCAUGGAAAAGCAUUCUGUCAACUGAAAAACACUUUAGGAAUGGAAUUAUGUAUUAUCUCCUAUCUCAUAGAAAUGUCUACCAAAUAUCUGCAGAAUUUGCAUCUCUUCCAUUUAUUUUAUUUUAUAUUUUGGCUCUUCUUAUUUGGUUCCCAAUUAUUUCUGAAAAGCAUAUGCAUGUGAGUCUCUUACAAAGAGUACUUGAAAGCAGAUGGUUUCCUUCCUGGAUGGAUUCAAUACGUAUUUUUGAUGGACCCCUCUUUUCUUUUCUUUACUUGUAGAAAUCUUCAAAAAUGAAAAACAUCAAAAAUAACAAGAUGUGAUGGAAGCCACUUGGGCAGUGAACAUAAAUGUUGCAAAGGAAAUGGAACCUUGCCUUGAGCUGAAAACCAACUAUCCCCAAAGGACGCCAGGAGAAUUUUCACUAGCCACUGCAAAGAGAGAACAAUCUUAAAAUUUUAACAGAUAAAACUCAAAGAGAGCUCUAUGAUAUGGAAUUCACAUAGACUAUUUUGUUGUGCCAAAAUCUGUAUGUAUUGUCUCAUCACUAGGCAUGUUUAUUUAAUGUGAACAGUUUUGAGUCUCUGGUUUCCACUACCAAUAAUUAAGCAAGUGAAAAUAUUUUUGUACUUCAAUUUCUAUGUAAAAUUGGUUAAAAAUAGGACGCUAGCUCUCCACGUAUUUUUAUCCUUUUUUCUAUAAUUUAUUUUGCCAUUAUUCUAAGACUAACUUAAAGAAAUAAUCAUAUCUGAGAAUGAUUUAAAAUACCCAGGUUUCUUAUGUGAUUCCCUGAGAACUGUGGAAAUGAGUUUGUUUAGGAGUUUGUUUUAUAAAUGCACUGUAAAUAAAUGUUUUGGAAUCUCAAUAGUCAAAGCCUUUGUGAAUUGUAGAAAUUUUCCAAAACUUCUUCCUCUAGCUUCUGAAAAUCCUGAGUUUAUGUCUUUAAUGUAUUAUGCCUUAUUAUUUUGUGUACUAUAUAUUAGAUAAUUCUUUAUAUUGAUGUUUACUAGAAUUGUAGGAAAACAAUUUAGGUAAUCAUAAUAUUUGGUGCAAAUAGAAGGGCAAUAGAAUAGUAAUAAAAUAUAAGAUAUUUGGGUGACUGGAAGCCACAGUGAUCUAAUUAUUGUAUAUUAGAAUAACACUUAAAGUUGUAGAUCUGUAAAAAUGACUUUAAGAGCAAUCACAUUUGACAAUUUAUCUUAUUAGGCAUGAAGUAUAUAGAAAUGUUAUUUUUUUCCCUGUGAAAAUGAAGAGACAGAAUUUAUUUGGUUAAAGUUACGUACAAAGCCUUAGACUUUUUUUUUUUAUAUAGGUCAUACUCCUUAUAAAAACUCACUUCAACUCAUAAUCAACUUGGACUAUAUGGAGAACUUAUUAGAUGAUUUAGCACCAAAGAGUAUCUGAGAACAAUAAAUCAUGACACAACUUUCCACAGGGGGAAAAAUAAAUUACAGUUAGUGAUCUUUGCUUCAGUGUUUAUAUUCCGAGGUAGCUUACUUCCCUUAUCUUUAAAUUUUUUUUUCAUUUAAAGUUGCAAUAAAUCCUGAUUUCCAGUAACCUAAAGAUUGUUUAGUGAUUAGAUUGUGGUAAUAUCACUUAUUAUCUACAAUUUCUGAAGUUAUAUGAGAUGAUUUGGCUUCUGUUUAUUUUAUCUGUUUAUGCCCAUAAGAACAACACAUUUUCAAAGUCUAAUUUUGAAGACAAAAGAGAUGGCCACUCAAUCCCAUAGCUGUAGAAAACUGCACCAAGGUGUUUUUGGACUCAUAGGAUUUGAUGUUUUUCAAAUAGAGGAUAUUUAUUAUUAUUUUUAAUUUGAUAUAGGAGAAUAAUUAGAUUUCUACUUUUAGUAAGUAUAAUUCUUUGAUUAUAAAUUGAGACAAUGCA